Molecule: ribosomal RNA, 253 nt
Filed under: uncultured bacterium
Lineage: Bacteria
Description: partial 16S ribosomal RNA
Rfam family: Bacterial small subunit ribosomal RNA
Source: RNAcentral
UACAGAGGGGGCAAGCGUUGUUCGGAAUUACUGGGCGUAAAGGGCGCGUAGGUGGCCAACUAAGUCAGACGUGAAAUCCCCAGGCUCAACUUGGGAACUGCGUCUGAUACUGGAUGGCUUGAAUUCGGGAGAGGGAUGCAGAAUUCCAGGUGUAGCGGUGAAAUGCGUAGAUAUCUGGAGGAAUACCGGUGGCGAAGGCGGGUCUCUGGGCAUCUCCUGACGCUGAGGCGCGAAAGCGUGGGGAGCAAACGGG